This 491-nucleotide ribosomal RNA is filed under the name uncultured bacterium. RNAcentral's name for it is "partial 16S ribosomal RNA". It matches the Rfam family "Bacterial small subunit ribosomal RNA", at positions 28 to 504 of the family's 1533-position model. The record is from RNAcentral.
GACGAACGCUGGCGGCGUGCUUAACGCAUGCAAGUCGAACGGAAAGGCCUGCUUUCCCUUGUGGAUUGCGGGUACUCGAGUGGCGAACGGGUGAGUAACACGUGAGUGAUCUGCCCCCAACUUGGGUAUAAGCCUGGGAAACUGGGUCUAAUUCCCGAUAGGACUGCAGGGUGGUGCCUGUGGUGGAAAACGAUUUUCUAGUGGUUGGGGAUGAGCUCGCGGCCUAUCAGCUUGUUGGUGGGGUAAUGGCCUACCAAGGCGGCGACGGGUAGCCGGCCUGAGAGGGUGGACGGCCACAUUGGGACUGAGAUACGGCCCAGACUCCUACGGGAGGCAGCAGUGGGGAAUAUUGCACAAUGGGCGGAAGCCUGAUGCAGCGACGCCGCGUGGGGGAUGACGGCCUUCGGGUUGUAAACUCCUUUCGACCGCGAGGAAGCCACCUGGUUGGAAGGGUGGUGACGGUAGUGGUAGAAGAAGCACCGGCUAACUAC